GGGGCGGUGGUCUAGACCGGCUAUGACGACUCGCUUACACCGAGUAGGUCACGAGUUCAAGUCUCGUCCGCCCCACCA
This 78-nucleotide transfer RNA is filed under the name Candidatus Thorarchaeota archaeon. Its description in RNAcentral is "tRNA-Val". It matches the Rfam family "tRNA". Rfam says of the family: Transfer RNA (tRNA) molecules are approximately 80 nucleotides in length. Their secondary structure includes four short double-helical elements and three loops (D, anti-codon, and T loops). RNAcentral also lists the same sequence under 1 other name. The record is from RNAcentral. Lineage: Archaea; Promethearchaeati; Candidatus Thorarchaeota.